This 347-nucleotide ribosomal RNA is filed under the name uncultured bacterium. RNAcentral describes it as "bacterial SSU rRNA". It matches the Rfam family "Bacterial small subunit ribosomal RNA", at positions 133 to 507 of the family's 1533-position model. The record is from RNAcentral.
UCGAUGGGGAAUAACUUCGGGAAACCGAGGCUAAUACCGCAUAAUACCCACGGGUCAAAGGAGCAAUUCGCUUGAGGACGGAGGUCGCGGCCCGAUUAGUUAGUUGGCGGGGUAAUGGCCCCGACCAAGACGGUGAUCGGUAUCCGGCCUGAGAGGGCGCACGGACACACUGGAACUGAAACACGGUCCAGACUCCUACGGGAGGCAGCAGUGGGGAAUUUUGCGCAAUGGGGGAAACCCUGACGCAGCAACGACCGCGUGGAGGAUGAAGUCUCUUGGGACGUAAACUCCUUUCGAUCGGGACGAUUAUGACGGUACCGGAAGAAGAAGCCCCGGCUAACUUCGUG